UACGAAGGGGGCUAGCGUUGUUCGGAAUUACUGGGCGUAAAGGGCGCGUAGGCGGUCCUUCAAGUCAGGCGUGAAAGCCCCGGGCUCAACCUGGGAACCGCGCUUGAGACUGGCGGGCUAGAGUUCGGGAGAGGAUGGUGGAAUUCCCAGUGUAGAGGUGAAAUUCGUAGAUAUUGGGAAGAACACCGAUGGCGAAGGCAGCCAUCUGGACCGACACUGACGCUGAGGCGCGAAAGCGUGGGGAGCAAACGGG
Molecule: ribosomal RNA, 253 nt
Filed under: uncultured bacterium
Lineage: Bacteria
Description: partial 16S ribosomal RNA
Rfam family: Bacterial small subunit ribosomal RNA
Source: RNAcentral